CAUUCAGAUGGCAGGCGUGCACACCAGCUGCAAAGAAGUAUGGAAAUGUUCUCUGACUGGUUUGUGCCUUAAGAAACCCUGUCUCAUAACAUGGAAAAUUACUGAACGGAGGAUAGAAUGCCUUAUGAUUUAGGAUCUGCACUGGGAAGGUCUAAAGGUCAGAGGUGGAAACUUGCAAGUCUGUGCCAGAGGGGUGAAGGAUCUAUGCCAGUGGACUGAGAGCUCUGUACUGAAUCUAGGAAGCAGUGCUCAAAGUAAGGCACAGAGCUCCCUGGAAAAGUACCACAGCCAUCCUCAGCAACGAAUGGUUCCAAACUUCUUCAGUGAUUAAAACCGCAGUUUUUCUCAGCAACAACAAGGUCCUGAACGCCUUUGAUGAUGACAACAGCAAACUUCCUAUCAGGAAAGAAGUUUGACAACAACACCAUGGAGAACAAACAACACCAUGGAGAAUCAACAGCAGUACCUCUUCCUCCCUAGUUCUUCUUUUUAUCUUGGCAACAAUCCUCAGGAUUCUCCAGUAUCUCUUCUCCUAUUAUGAUGAUCAGCAGUGAAUCAGGAAACUAAAGAGAAACCUCCAUCCUGGGCUUCUACCCUUUGUCCCCAAAUAUCAUUUAUUUUUGUGGCUAGGCAAAGGCACCGAUCCUUCUGAGGAAGCUGGCCCUCAGUGAUUGUCAUGGAUCACUGGGAUGAAUCAGACAACUUAUACAUUUGUAAAAUGCUUUCAUAUCCACUCAGUUAAGAAUAUAAUUUAAAGGUAGAGAUUGGAUAUCCCAAUGUUUCCUUUUGUGAUUAAACCUUCUUUCAUGAGCAAA
Long non-coding RNA from Cavia porcellus (domestic guinea pig), 815 nucleotides. RefSeq lists it as uncharacterized. The record is from RefSeq and is a predicted model, not a curated record. The transcript has 3 exons. Lineage: Eukaryota; Metazoa; Chordata; Mammalia; Rodentia; Caviidae.